GGAUGAACGCUGGCGGCGUGCUUAACACAUGCAAGUCGAACGAUGAUCCGGUGCUUGCGCCGGUGAUUAGUGGCGAACGGGUGAGUAACACGUGAGUAACCUGCCCUUAACUCUGGGAUAAGCCUGGGAAACUGGGUCUAAUACCGGAUAUGACCCCUCGCCGCAUGGUGGGGGGUGGAAAGCUUUUGUGGUUUUGGAUGGACUCGCGGCCUAUCAGCUUGUUGGUGAGGUAAUGGCUCACCAAGGCGACGACGGGUAGCCGGCCUGAGAGGGUGACCGGCCACACUGGGACUGAGACACGGCCCAGACUCCUACGGGAGGCAGCAGUGGGGAAUAUUGCACAAUGGGCGGAAGCCUGAUGCAGCGACGCCGCGUGAGGGAUGACGGCCU
RNAcentral lists this ribosomal RNA (390 nucleotides) under uncultured bacterium. RNAcentral describes it as "bacterial SSU rRNA". It matches the Rfam family "Bacterial small subunit ribosomal RNA", at positions 27 to 417 of the family's 1533-position model. The record is from RNAcentral.